AUUGAACGCUGGCGGCAUGCUUUACACAUGCAAGUCGAACGGUAACAGGCCUUCGGGUGCUGACGAGUGGCGAACGGGUGAGUAAUGCAUCGGAACGUGCCCAAUCGUGGGGGAUAACGUAGCGAAAGUUACGCUAAUACCGCAUAAGCCCUGAGGGGGAAAGUGGGGGACCGCAAGGCCUCACGCGAAUGGAGCGGCCGAUGUCAGAUUAGCUAAUUGGUGGGGUAAAGGCCCACCAAGGCGACGAUCUGUAGCGGGUCUGAGAGGAUGAUCCGCCACACUGGGACUGAGACACGGCCCAGACUCCUACGGGAGGCAACAGUGGGGAAUUUUGGACAAUGGGCGCAAGCCUGAUCCAGCCAUGCCGCGUGCGGGACGAAGGCC
This 384-nucleotide ribosomal RNA is filed under the name uncultured bacterium. RNAcentral's name for it is "bacterial SSU rRNA". It matches the Rfam family "Bacterial small subunit ribosomal RNA", at positions 29 to 416 of the family's 1533-position model. The record is from RNAcentral.